This 372-nucleotide long non-coding RNA is filed under the name Androctonus crassicauda. The record is from RNAcentral. Lineage: Eukaryota; Metazoa; Arthropoda; Arachnida; Scorpiones; Buthidae.
UAUUUCCAUUGAUAUGUUAAAUUUAGCUAUUCUAUAUCUCUGAUUAAUAUGAUAUACAGAUUAAAUGAUACUAAGCUAUCAUCGAAUGUGUUUAAUAGGAGCCAGCUAUCAUCAUCACUGCAGGAUCAGAAUAAUGGGUGUCAGAAACCAAAUGAAAAUUCUCUUAAAUAUAAAAUAGGAAAACUUAAAACUCAAACUAUUUUUUAUUUAUUUAUUUCAGUGCAACGACAGUUUGACGCUAUAUACUAUAUAUAUAUAGUAUAUACUGUAUAAUACCUUCAAAUGGGAACUGAACUACACUUAACAAAUAAAUGAAAAAUUCUGUCUGGGAUAUCUUGAUAGAAAAUAUAUUUUGUUUGGUUGUGAAGGGAC